GACAGAGGCCUCAAGCGUUAGGCGGAAUCACUGGGCUUAAAGCGUGUGUAGGCGGAUCGUUAAGUGUCUUGUGAAAUCCCACGGCUCACCCGUGGAACGGCUGGGCAUACUGGCGAUCUUGGGCCAACUAGGGGCAACUGGAACAAGCGGUGGAGCGGUGAAAUGCGUAGAUAUCGCUUGGAACGCCGAAGGUGAAAACAGGUUGCUGGGGUUGUGCCGACGCUGAGACACGAAAGCCAGGGGGAGCAAACGGGG
RNAcentral lists this ribosomal RNA (255 nucleotides) under uncultured bacterium. RNAcentral describes it as "partial 16S ribosomal RNA". It matches the Rfam family "Bacterial small subunit ribosomal RNA", at positions 524 to 777 of the family's 1533-position model. The record is from RNAcentral.